GAGGAACGUAUAGCAAUAGCUACUUGCAUCAUUGUACAGACAUGCAAGAUCGACUAUGUCGAAUAAAAUUCUAGGUAGAAUUAUGAUAAUGACAUUGUCUGCCUAUGUGUCUUGACCAAAUUACGUGCCAGCAGUCGCGGUAAUACGUAGAAGACUAGUGUUAUUCAUGUUUAAUCGGUUUAAAGGGUACCUAGACGGUAGAUCAAGCUUUUGCAUAUAAAUUAUGCCAAUUAAAGGACUAAUUUGCUAGAGUUACUUACGAGGGGGUAUUAAAGUACUGCUGGUGUAGAGAUGAAAUUCUGUUAUACCUCUUUUCGAAAGAAAAAUCAUGGCACAGGUAUAGGCGAAGGCAUCCCCUUAUGUGAUAACUGACGUUGAGGGACGAAGGCUUUUUGUAACAAACAGGAUUAGAUACCCUAGUAGUUGAAGCAGAAAAUGAUGAAUGUCAUAGAUUAGAUAUAUAAGUUUAUUCUAUAAAUGAAAGUGUAAGCAUUCCACCUCAUGAGUAAUUUGGCAACAUUGGAACUGAAAUCAUUAGACCGUUUCUGAAACCAGUAGUGAAGUAUGUUGUUUAAUUUGAUGAUCCGCAAAAAACCUUACCACAAUUUGAAUAUUUAUAUUUUUUUAUUGUUUUCUUCUUAAUUUUCUUCUAAUAACAUAUUCAACAUGUAAAAAGAAGAAAGUUAAUAAAGAGGCAAUAAUAUAUAUUUACAAGCGUUGCACGGCUGUCUUCAGUUAAUGUCGCGAGACUUUGGUUAGUUCCAUUAAAUUAACGUAAACCCUUACUUUAUUUUUAUAUAGAGUAGUUCCCCGCUAUAUUGGAUAUGAUAACAGGGACUAAGACAAG
RNAcentral lists this ribosomal RNA (847 nucleotides) under Punctelia sp. Cole 11219. Its description in RNAcentral is "SSU rRNA". It matches the Rfam family "Bacterial small subunit ribosomal RNA", at positions 356 to 1189 of the family's 1533-position model. Lineage: Eukaryota; Fungi; Ascomycota; Lecanoromycetes; Lecanorales; Parmeliaceae. The record is from RNAcentral.